This 163-nucleotide ribosomal RNA is filed under the name uncultured bacterium. RNAcentral describes it as "partial 16S rRNA". It matches the Rfam family "Bacterial small subunit ribosomal RNA", at positions 355 to 511 of the family's 1533-position model. The record is from RNAcentral.
UAGGGAAUCUUCCACAAUGGGCGAAAGCCUGAUGGAGCAACGCCGCGUGUGUGAUGAAGGGUUUCGGCUCGUAAAACACUGUUGUAAGAGAAGAAUGACAUUGAGAGUAACUGUUCAAUGUGUGACGGUAUCUUACAGAAAGGAACGGCUAAAUACGUGCCAG